Molecule: non-coding RNA, 106 nt
Organism: Gossypium hirsutum (cotton)
Lineage: Eukaryota; Viridiplantae; Streptophyta; Magnoliopsida; Malvales; Malvaceae
Source: Rfam
AUCCCAUGAUGAGGGCACUUAUGAAGUAAUUCUUUGAAUCUCUCUCAAGCAUCAUACAAAGAUUCGUCAUCCAAUUGUUCAAAAUGGUUAUCUCAUUUUGCAACGU